CACUUAUGAGUUAAUGUGAUAAUCAUGUGUAAAAACUCUUUUCAACUAUUAUUUUUCACAAAAUAAUUUGGCGGAUCAGUUUGCUCUGAGCGCUUGUGUUGUUUACCAAGAAAAUGCAGCCCUGUUGGUUUUUAUUUCUGUAUCGCCUCGCGGUGAGUUCUAUUUCUUGGUAAUUCGGUUUGUGAAAUGACUAUUAAUUACAAGCACAGCAUCAUCAACGGUGAUUGCAAGAACUACUGCAAUCCCUGCGGUUUUUCCUCUUAGUAAAUGCGUUCUGGUCGUGACCAAGGGCAGUCUCCCAAAUCGGCCGGGCAUAAGGAUUUUGUUGCAGAACAAAACGCCCCAAACCACUGCUGUGGUAAAUAUGUUCCAGCAGAGCUGCCCACCGCCGUCGGUGUAAUGAUUUCGAUAGCUGAACAAACGCCAUCUCCUGGGCAUUCCCACAGCUUGCCGACACUAGCUAUUAUAUCACGUGUGAAUGCAACUGCGGCUUAAUUUGGUUAUUAACAGUGCAAUAGUACUAUGCCAUUGGCAAAAACACU
This is a long non-coding RNA of Rhagoletis pomonella (apple maggot), 542 nucleotides long. RefSeq lists it as uncharacterized. The record is from RefSeq and is a predicted model, not a curated record. The transcript has 3 exons. Lineage: Eukaryota; Metazoa; Arthropoda; Insecta; Diptera; Tephritidae.